This 538-nucleotide ribosomal RNA is filed under the name uncultured bacterium. Its description in RNAcentral is "bacterial SSU rRNA". It matches the Rfam family "Bacterial small subunit ribosomal RNA", at positions 355 to 896 of the family's 1533-position model. The record is from RNAcentral.
CGAGGAAUUUNGUCNANGGACGGAAGUUUAACCAGCCAUGCCGCGUGAAGGAUUAAGGCGUUUUGCGUUGUAAACUUUUUUUAUCAGGGAAGAANCCGUUUAUUUUAUGAACGUUGACGGUACCUGAUGAAUAAGCACCGGCUAACUCCGUGCCAGCAGCCGCGGUAAUACGGAGGGUGCAAGCGUUAUCCGGAUUUACUGGGUUUAAAGGGUGUGUAGGCGGCUUUAUAAGUCAGGGGUGAAAUCUCCGGGCUCAACCCGGAAACUGCCUUUGAUACUAUAGAGCUUGAAUUAUGUUGAGGUUGGCGGAAUAUAACAUGUAGCGGUGAAAUGCAUAGAUAUGUUAUAGAACACCGAUUGCGAAGGCAGCUGACUAAGCAUAUAUUGACGCUGAGGCACGAAAGCGUGGGUAGCGAACAGGAUUAGAUACCCUGGUAGUCCACGCCCUAAACGAUGAUUACUCGUCAUACGUGAUAUACAAUGUGUGACUAAGCGAAAGCGUUAAGUAAUCCACCUGGGAAGUACGUCCGCAAGGAUG